This 253-nucleotide ribosomal RNA is filed under the name uncultured bacterium. RNAcentral describes it as "partial 16S ribosomal RNA". It matches the Rfam family "Bacterial small subunit ribosomal RNA", at positions 524 to 776 of the family's 1533-position model. The record is from RNAcentral.
UACGGAGGGUGCAAGCGUUAUCCGGAUUUACUGGGUUUAAAGGGUGCGUAGGUGGGUAGGAAAGUCAGUGGUGAAAUCUUCGGGCUUAACCCGGAAACUGCCAUUGAUACUAUUUAUCUUGAAUACUUUGGAGGUAAGCGGAAUAUGUCAUGUAGCGGUGAAAUGCUUAGAUAUGACAUAGAACACCAAUUGCGAAGGCAGCUCACUACACGAAUAUUGACACUGAGGCACGAAAGCGUGGGGAUCAAACAGG